Non-coding RNA from Alicyclobacillus acidocaldarius subsp. acidocaldarius DSM 446, 178 nucleotides. It matches the Rfam family "6S / SsrS RNA". From Rfam's summary of the family: E. coli 6S RNA was the first non coding RNA to be sequenced, but its function was unknown until recently. It consists of 184 nucleotides that fold into an extended hairpin structure with a large single-stranded internal bulge. NCBI's taxonomy places the organism in Bacteria, Bacillati, Bacillota, Bacilli, Caryophanales, Alicyclobacillaceae. The record is from Rfam.
AAGCUCCUGUGAUGUUCGUGGGGCAGUUUUGGUUUUCAUCCACGCAAGACCUACGGGAAUCCGUGUCCGUCUGCGGAUGCCAUGCCUCGGCGUUGUGGACGGUUGAAACCGGCGGUAGGAUACCCACCUUGGAGAUGGGGAUGCAAAACCGAUUGUCCCACGGCAGAACGGGGUUACA